RNAcentral lists this ribosomal RNA (359 nucleotides) under uncultured soil bacterium. Its description in RNAcentral is "bacterial SSU rRNA". It matches the Rfam family "Bacterial small subunit ribosomal RNA", at positions 26 to 409 of the family's 1533-position model. The record is from RNAcentral.
AGAACGAACGCUGGCGGCAUGCCUAAUACAUGCAAGUCGAACGAACUCUUCGGAGUUAGUGGCGCACGGGUGCGUAACGCGUGGGAAUCUGCCCCUUGGUUCGGAAUAACAGUUGGAAACGACUGCUAAUACCGGAUGGUGACGAAAGUCCAAAGAUUUAUCGCCAAGGGAUGAGCCCGCGUAGGACUAGCUAGUUGGUGAGGUAAAGGCUCACCAAGGCAACGAUCCUUAGCUGGUCUGAGAGGAUGAUCAGCCACACUGGGACUGAGACACGGCCCAGACUCUACGGGAGCAGCAGGUAGGGAAUAGUUGGACAAGUGGGACAAAGCCUAGACUCCAGCAAUGCCGCGUAGAGUGAC